RNAcentral lists this ribosomal RNA (253 nucleotides) under uncultured bacterium. Its description in RNAcentral is "partial 16S ribosomal RNA". It matches the Rfam family "Bacterial small subunit ribosomal RNA", at positions 524 to 776 of the family's 1533-position model. The record is from RNAcentral.
UACGUAGGGCGCGAGCGUUGUCCGGAAUUAUUGGGCGUAAAGAGCUCGUAGGCGGCCUGUCGCGUCAAUUGUGAAAACCCGGGGCUCAACUCCGGGCCUGCAGCCGAUACGGGCAGACUAGAGUUCGGCAGGGGAGACUGGAAUUCCUGGUGUAGCGGUGAAAUGCGCAGAUAUCAGGAGGAACACCGGUGGCGAAGGCGGCAUCCUGGACCGGUAUUGACGCUGAGGCGCGAAAGCUAGGGGAGCAAACGGG